RNAcentral lists this ribosomal RNA (467 nucleotides) under uncultured bacterium. RNAcentral's name for it is "partial 16S ribosomal RNA". It matches the Rfam family "Bacterial small subunit ribosomal RNA", at positions 28 to 506 of the family's 1533-position model. The record is from RNAcentral.
GACGAACGCUGGCGGCGUGCUUAACACAUGCAAGUCGAACGGAAAGGCCCUGCUUUUGUGGGGUGCUCGAGUGGCGAACGGGUGAGUAACACGUGAGUAACCUGCCCUUGACUUUGGGAUAACUUCAGGAAACUGGGGCUAAUACCGGAUAGGAGCUCCUGCUGCAUGGUGGGGGUUGGAAAGUUUCGGCGGUUGGGGAUGGACUCGCGGCUUAUCAGCUUGUUGGUGGGGUAGUGGCUUACCAAGGCUUUGACGGGUAGCCGGCCUGAGAGGGUGACCGGCCACAUUGGGACUGAGAUACGGCCCAGACUCCUACGGGAGGCAGCAGGGGGGAAUAUUGCACAAUGGGCGGAAGCCGGAUGCAGCAACGCCGCGUGCGGGAGGACGGCCUUCGGGUUGUAAACCGCUUUCGCCUGUGACGAAGCGUGAGUGACGGUAAUGGGUAAAGAAGCACCGGCUAACUACGU